GACGAACGCUGGCGGCGUGCCUAACACAUGCAAGUCACGGGGUAAAUUGCUUCGGCAAUUUACUUAGUGGCGAACGGGUGAGUAACGCGUGAGAAACCUGCCUUUCAGUGGGGGACAACAGUUGGAAACGACUGCUAAUACCGCAUAAUGUAUUUAGGGGGCAUCCCUUGGAUACCAAAGCUUAAUGUGCUGAAAGAUGGUCUCGCGUCUGAUUAGCUAGUUGGUGGGGUAACGGCUCACCAAGGCGACGAUCAGUAGCCGGUCUGAGAGGAUGAACGGCCACAUUGGGACUGAGAUACGGCCCAGACUCCUACGGGAGGCAGCAGUGGGGAAUAUUGGGCAAUGGGGGCAACCCUGACGCAGCAACGCCGCGUGAAGGAUGAAGGUCUUCGGAUUGUAAACUUUUGUCUUAAGGGAAGAAAAUGACGGUACCUUAGGAGGAAGCCACGGCUAACUACGUG
RNAcentral lists this ribosomal RNA (461 nucleotides) under uncultured bacterium. RNAcentral describes it as "bacterial SSU rRNA". It matches the Rfam family "Bacterial small subunit ribosomal RNA", at positions 28 to 507 of the family's 1533-position model. The record is from RNAcentral.